UACAGAGGGUGCGAGCGUUGUUCGGAAUUAUUGGGCGUAAAGAGCGCGUAGGCGGUUUGCUAAGUCUGAUGUGAAAGCCCUCGGCUUAACCGAGGAAGUGCAUUGGAUACUGGCAGGCUUGAGUGUGAGAGAGGAUAGUGGAAUACCUGGUGUAGCGGUGAAAUGCGUAGAUAUCAGGUGGAACACCGGUGGCGAAGGCGGCUAUCUGGAUCAUAACUGACGCUGAGGCGCGAAAGCAUGGGGAGCAAACAGG
RNAcentral lists this ribosomal RNA (253 nucleotides) under uncultured bacterium. Its description in RNAcentral is "partial 16S ribosomal RNA". It matches the Rfam family "Bacterial small subunit ribosomal RNA", at positions 524 to 776 of the family's 1533-position model. The record is from RNAcentral.